Long non-coding RNA from Hemicordylus capensis (graceful crag lizard), 1306 nucleotides. RefSeq lists it as uncharacterized. The transcript has 3 exons. Lineage: Eukaryota; Metazoa; Chordata; Lepidosauria; Squamata; Cordylidae. The record is from RefSeq and is a predicted model, not a curated record.
UUUUGUGGGGUUUGGGAUUUUUUUGGUAGUCUGGGUGAGGUCUGGAACCUACCUGCAAAAACUGGAUACAGUAGGAGCAGCACCAAUGGUGGUUACGCUCUAGGACUUAACCAGCACUCCAUGGUAAAGCAAGGUGCUAAAAGGGGGCAGAUUCGGGAGUAAAGCAAGUUGCUGGCAGGGGACAGGGGUAAAAGCCAGUUCCUGUGAUGUCUGAAUGCGGCCUGUCAGUCCUUCACCUCUGGCCUGACUGGGAUCUUCCUCAGCAGAAUGUUCUGCCAGGGAGAAAUGCGGUGGACGUGGGGCGGAGGAUGACUAAAGAGGCUAAAGUGGGUGAAAUUUGAAAGCAGCACAUUUCCCACUGAUGUCACUUUGUGCAGCAGAGGUGAAAAGAACUCUCUCACAACUCUCCACGGUCCACCUUAGGCAGAGAGAAAAAAGUAUGCCCAAAGUAAGUCCCCUUUACAUAUCUGGAUGAUCCAGUCCUGGGCUUUAUCCGGAAUACAAUUCAAACUCUAUGGUUAAGGGCGGGGGACUCCAUAUUGUAAUUCAGAUAAUUCACCUCAUUGUGUGAUAGUGACCACCGCAUAUUCUAAAUCCUACAUUACAUCUAAUAUUUAAAUCCAGGGUACAGAAUGUAUGAUUUUCCAUUUGGAUGAUCAUUUGUACACGGGUAGAGGAAUCUAAUCACACGUUGAAAGCAUCAUCUGAACUGGCCUGGUUAAGAAAGUUUAGAGUUGCAGCCGUAGUUCUGCAACAGAAACAAAGAACCAACAGUUCAUCUAGGACUCUUUUGUAAUACUGACCAAAAACCAAGUCCUUCCAAACAGUGUGGAAAUACAACAGAACAGAAAUACAUAUUGAAGGAGAAGCCUAUAUUAUCCACUUGCCAUUCAUUCCCUUUAGAAUUAGGAAGACAGAGUGUAAGGUUGUGUUUGACUAUAGUAUAUAUUAUAUACUUUAUAUGCUUAGAAAGAUGUAAUAGGGGAAAAAUCUACAGAGCUAGACUAUUCUUUUGCAAAAAGUCAGCAAAAAAUGCCUUUUUUAUACCUCAGAUCAGCUGAAACUGCAGUUCAAUAUUCUACAAAACCAAUUUUAUGUCCCAGCACAAAUAUACAUUUUCCAGGCAUUGAGGUUCCACAUACACACACACGUUCCUCGAGCAAUUGCUUAAACAUUGGUUUGCAAAAGUAAUAAAAAAUGCAGGGUCGAUGCACUAGUUUUAUUUUCAUUGAAAUGUCGAGUCAUCUACAAAACUGGGGAAAUUAAAAUGUUCUAUGCCAGUUGAUUAACUUUCCUCCAUUCCCCA